This 217-nucleotide unclassified non-coding RNA is filed under the name rhizosphere metagenome. RNAcentral describes it as "partial ribosomal RNA internal transcribed spacer region". The record is from RNAcentral.
AAACCUAGUCGUUCGCGUACAUAGGGGCAACCCUCGCGUGAUGUCAGCAAUACCUAGGUAACCCUUGAAUAAACUACCCUUGUUGCUUUGGCGGGCCGCCGUCUCGGCCAGCGGCUUCGGCUGCUGCGCGCCCGCCAGAGGACCACAACUCUUGUUUUUAGUGAUGUCUGAGUACUAUAUAAUAGUUAAAACUUUCAACAACGGAUCUCUUGGUUCU